GGGACUACAGGCGCCCGCCAUCACGCCCGGCUGCUUUUUUUGUUUUAGUAGAGAGGAGGUUUCACCGUGUUAGCCAGGAUGGUCUCAAUCUCCUGACCUCGUGAUCCGCCCGCCUCGGCCUCUCAAAGUGCUGGGAUUACACGCGUGAGCCACCGCGCCUGGCCUGAAGAAAGAAGUCAUUAAAGAAGCAACCCAUGGCAAAACUAGUUAUUUUCUUAAAACAGUAGGAAGAAGAAAAGCUUUUUGAAUGAAUCACUUCUCAUCUUCUCCGAAGUUGGAAGCAUCAAGAAUCUAAAUAAGCAUUUAUGAUGGCUGGCAUGAAUAUUUCUCUCCUUCAUCGUGCCUAUUUUAUGAACUUGAACAAGGAAGUUGCCACAACAUCUGUGGGCCAGAGAACUAUGCCAGAAUGUUAUUUCCAGAUUGCUUCCUGUAUUUACAAAGGCGGAAGAUAGAAUGGGAGUCCUAGUUGACCUUCAUAUAAUUUUUAGAAGAUGGAGCACUUCAACUUCUUCCACUCAUGAAAAGAGAGGUGACAGGUGAAGACAGAACAAGAAAACAAACCAAGAAUUUCCCCUCACCAGCCACCAGCUCUGCCAGCAACUUGAUCUUAGACUUCCCAGCCUCCGUAACGCCUCUGCUUAUAAUCUGUCAUGGAUUGGAAAACUAGAAAAAACAGUUUACAGAGUAUAACAAACUUUGGAGGAGUUAAUCGACUCUAAGUAAAAGAGUAUCUAGCACGGCUGUGGAACAAAGGAGAGACUCACAAACUGUUGAAAGAAUAAAUGAAUGAAUGAAUUCUGUUCAUGAGCUUUAAUAAAACAGCUCUGAGUAGUAACAGUGGAUCAAAUUUAGGCUUCUUGAUGCAGGCAUGGUGUAGAUUACUACUUCUGUAUUGUCCCAGGAGCUCAGCACAUUCCUGCAGAGAUGAUAGGAGCUCAUCUGAUACUUGUCAGCUUUGAAUAAACUCCAGUCCCCAAGAGAGAGAAUGAGAAUCACCGGAAUACGAAACUUCCCUGUUGGACUUCCCAACAUUCUUGAAUGCACCAAGAUAGCCUCUUGCUGUGAGAUUAAUAAAUGAAUAAAUGCCUCCAUAUUUUUCAAAUCUGUGAAGUUAACAACAUGUAGAUUUUUUUGCAUAUUUAAAAACUGCAACUAAAUCUUAAUGCCUCUGAAGCAGAUGGAAGAAAAUAAUAGGCUUCCAUUAACUGUGUCAAAUUGUAUAGGUCUUGGCCAUCACUGGUCCUGUUGUGAUGAAGGUUUUUUGCCCUUGGAUAUAAUUUAAUUUUCAAUUCUUCUAAUUAUGGUACUUCAGAACAUCAAUAUUUGAGAUGAACUUCUCUAGUGUCAAGGACUGAUUUGAGUUGUGUAAACCCUGAAUAUCUGAGACAGGUCUCGAUUAUUUUAGAAAGUUUAUUUUGCCAAGGUUGAGGAUGUGUGCCUGUGACACGGCCUCGGGAGGUCCUGAGGACAUGUGCUCAAGGUGGUCAGAGCACAGCUUUGCUUUAUACAUUUUAGAGAGACAUGAGACAUCAACCGACAUAUGUAAGAUGAACAUUGGUUCCAUCUGGAAAGGCGAGACAACUUCAAACGAGGAGGGGGCUUCCAGGUCAUAGGUAGAUAAGAGACAAAUGGCUGCAUUCUUUUGAGUUUCUGAUUAGCCUUUCCAAAGGAGGCAAUUAGAGUGAGCAAAAUGAACAAAAUCAAUUAUUUUGAUUCUGAACAAAAUGGGAGGCUGGUUUUCCCUAAGCAGUUCCCAGCUUGACUUUUCCCUUUAGCUGAGGGAUUUGGGGGGCCCAAGAUUUAUUUUUCUUUCACCGUUGUAUCAAACUACACAGGCGGCCUUGGAAACCAUCACAGUUGAGAGUAGGUAACGCCCAUUUGUUGCAUAGUUUUGUGCUCCACACUCUUAUCUACAAAAUUAUGAAUUUUUUUACAUAUAUUAAUUUCAGAAAAACUAAAAAUAAAACAAAGUAGUUUCAAACUAGUAUUGUUUUUAUAUCUUAAAAAUAAAGCUUUAUAUACUCUCCUUAC
RNAcentral lists this long non-coding RNA (2031 nucleotides) under Homo sapiens (human). RNAcentral's name for it is "uncharacterized LOC105376944, transcript variant 14 (LOC105376944)". The record is from RNAcentral. Lineage: Eukaryota; Metazoa; Chordata; Mammalia; Primates; Hominidae.